UCAAACUUGGUCAUUUAGAGGAAGUAAAAGUCGUAACAAGGUUUCCGUAGGUGAACCUGCGGAAGGAUCAUUAUCGAGUUUUGAAACGGGUUGUCGCUGGCCUUUCACGAGGCAUGUGCACGCCUGGCUCAUCCACUCUUCUACCUCUGUGCACUUUUUGUAGGAAGUCUUUGGUUUUGAAAGCUGGCGUAAGUCAGUCGAUUGCUGGGACUUUCUAUGUUUUUAUUACUACAAACGCUUCAGUUAUAGAAUGUCAUACUUGCGAAUAACGCAUUUAUAUACAACUUUCAGCAACGGAUCUCUUGGCUCUCGCAUCGAUGAAGAACGCAGC
This 331-nucleotide unclassified non-coding RNA is filed under the name uncultured fungus. RNAcentral's name for it is "partial contains small subunit ribosomal RNA, internal transcribed spacer 1, and 5.8S ribosomal RNA". The stretch from base 1 to 73 matches the Rfam family "Eukaryotic small subunit ribosomal RNA", at positions 1759 to 1831 of the family's 1831-position model. Lineage: Eukaryota; Fungi. The record is from RNAcentral.